UACGUAGGGUGCGAGCGUUAAUCGGAAUUACUGGGCGUAAAGCGUGCGCAGGCGGUCUGCUAAGAGAGGUGUGAAAUCCCCGGGCUUAACCUGGGAACUGCGCUUCUAACUGGCAGGCUAGAGUGUGGCAGGGGGGGGUGGAAUUCCACGUGUAGCAGUGAAAUGCGUAGAGAUGUGGAGGAACACCGAUGGCGAAGGCAGCCCCCUGGGCUAACACUGACGCUCAUGCACGAAAGCGUGGGGAGCAAACAGG
Molecule: ribosomal RNA, 253 nt
Filed under: uncultured bacterium
Lineage: Bacteria
Description: partial 16S ribosomal RNA
Rfam family: Bacterial small subunit ribosomal RNA
Source: RNAcentral